Molecule: ribosomal RNA, 333 nt
Filed under: uncultured Pelotomaculum sp.
Lineage: Bacteria; Bacillati; Bacillota; Clostridia; Eubacteriales; Desulfotomaculaceae
Description: bacterial SSU rRNA
Rfam family: Bacterial small subunit ribosomal RNA
Source: RNAcentral
GUCGUCAGCUCGUGUCGUGAGAUGUUGGGUUAAGUCCCGCAACGAGCGCAACCCCUACGUUUAGUUGCUAACAGGUGAAGCUGAGCACUCUAGACGAACUGCCGUUGACAAAACGGAGGAAGGUGGGAUGACGUCAAAUCAUCAUGCCCCUUAUGUUCUGGGCUACACACGUGCUACAAUGGCCGGUACAGACGGAGGCGAAGCCGCGAGGCGGAGCAAAUCCGAAAAAGCCGGUACUCAGUUCGGAUUGCAGGCUGCAAUUCGCCUGCAUGAAGUCGGAAUCGCUAGUAAUCGCAGGUCAGCAUACUGCGGUCGAAUACGUUCCCGGGCCUU